Molecule: ribosomal RNA, 474 nt
Filed under: uncultured bacterium
Lineage: Bacteria
Description: bacterial SSU rRNA
Rfam family: Bacterial small subunit ribosomal RNA
Source: RNAcentral
AUAGAACGCUGGCGGCGUGCCUAACACAUGCAAGUCGAACGGGGGUUACACGAGUAGCAAUACUUGUGCAACCUAGUGGCGGACGGGUGAGUAACGCGUGAGCAACCUACCUUCCAGAGGGGGAUAACACAGGGAAACCUGUGCUAAUACCGCAUAAAGUACAGUGGGGGCAUCCCUGCAGUACCAAAGGAGCAAUCCGCUGGGAGAUGGGCUCGCGUCCGAUUAGGUAGUUGGUGGGGUAACGGCUCACCAAGCCGACGAUCGGUAGCCGGACUGAGAGGUUGGCCGGCCACAUUGGGACUGAGACACGGCCCAGACUCCUACGGGAGGCAGCAGUGGGGAAUAUUGGGCAAUGGGCGGAAGCCUGACCCAGCGACGCCGCGUGAGGGAAGACGGCCUUCGGGUUGUAAACCUCAGUUAUACGGGACGAAGGAAGUGACGGUACCGUAAGAGAAAGCCACGGCUAACUACGUG